RNAcentral lists this ribosomal RNA (435 nucleotides) under uncultured bacterium. RNAcentral describes it as "partial 16S ribosomal RNA". It matches the Rfam family "Bacterial small subunit ribosomal RNA", at positions 29 to 507 of the family's 1533-position model. The record is from RNAcentral.
AACGAACGCUGGCGGCAUGCCUAACACAUGCAAGUCGAACGAUUGCCUUCGGGUGAUAUUGGCUCACGGGUGCGUAACGCGUGGGGAUCUGCCCUUAGGUUCGGAAUAACAGCUGGAAACGGCUGCUAAUACCGGAUGAUAUCACGAGAUCAAAGAUUCAUCGCCUUGGGAUGAGCCCGGGUUGGAUUAGGUAGUUGGUGGGGUAAAGGCCUACCAAGCCGACGAUCCAUAGCUGGUCUGAGAGGAUGAUCAGCCACACUGGGACUGAGACACGGCCCAGAAUCGUACGGGAGGGAGCAGUGGGGAAUACUGGAGGAUGGGGGCAAGUCUGAUCCAGCAAUGCCGGGUGAGUGAUGAAGGGGGUAGGGUUGUAAAGCUCUUUUAGCCGGGAAGAUAAUGACUGUACCGGGAGAAUAAGCACCGGCUAACUCCGUG